UACGUAGGGUGCGAGCGUUAAUCGGAAUUACUGGGCGUAAAGCGUGCGCAGGCGGUGGCUCAAGCCAGGCGUGAAAUCCCCGGGCUUAACCUGGGAAUGGCGUUUGGGACUGGGUCGCUAGAGUGUGGCAGAGGGAAGUGGAAUUCCACGUGUAGCAGUGAAAUGCGUAGAGAUGUGGAGGAACACCGAUGGCGAAGGCAGCCUCCUGGGCCAGCACUGACGCUCAUGCACGAAAGCGUGGGGAGCAAACAGG
RNAcentral lists this ribosomal RNA (253 nucleotides) under uncultured bacterium. RNAcentral's name for it is "partial 16S ribosomal RNA". It matches the Rfam family "Bacterial small subunit ribosomal RNA", at positions 524 to 776 of the family's 1533-position model. The record is from RNAcentral.